GGGGAUUUAGCUCAGUGGUAGAGCGCUUGCCUAGCAAGCACAAGGCCCUAGGUUCAGUCCUCA
This is a non-coding RNA of Rattus norvegicus (Norway rat), 63 nucleotides long. NCBI's taxonomy places the organism in Eukaryota, Metazoa, Chordata, Mammalia, Rodentia, Muridae. The record is from Rfam.